This 253-nucleotide ribosomal RNA is filed under the name uncultured bacterium. RNAcentral's name for it is "partial 16S ribosomal RNA". It matches the Rfam family "Bacterial small subunit ribosomal RNA", at positions 524 to 776 of the family's 1533-position model. The record is from RNAcentral.
UACGUAGGGUCCGAGCGUUGUCCGGAAUUACUGGGCGUAAAGAGCUCGUAGGCGGUUUGUCGCGUCGAAUGUGAAAACCCGGGGCUCAACCCCGGGCCUGCAUUCGAUACGGGCAGACUAGAGUUCGGUAGGGGAGUCUGGAAUUCCUGGUGUAGCGGUGAAAUGCGCAGAUAUCAGGAGGAACACCGGUGGCGAAGGCGGGACUCUGGGCCGAUACUGACGCUGAGGAGCGAAAGCGUGGGGAGCAAACAGG